RNAcentral lists this ribosomal RNA (609 nucleotides) under Candida tropicalis. RNAcentral describes it as "LSU rRNA". It matches the Rfam family "Eukaryotic large subunit ribosomal RNA", at positions 24 to 633 of the family's 3401-position model. The record is from RNAcentral. Lineage: Eukaryota; Fungi; Ascomycota; Pichiomycetes; Serinales; Debaryomycetaceae.
UGUUUUCCCCCGCUGCUAAGCAUAUCAAUAAGCGGAGGAAAAGAAACCAACAGGGAUUGCCUUAGUAGCGGCGAGUGAAGCGGCAAAAGCUCAAAUUUGAAAUCUGGCUCUUUCAGAGUCCGAGUUGUAAUUUGAAGAAGGUAUCUUUGGGUCUGGCUCUUGUCUAUGUUUCUUGGAACAGAACGUCACAGAGGGUGAGAAUCCCGUGCGAUGAGAUGAUCCAGGCCUAUGUAAAGUUCCUUCGAAGAGUCGAGUUGUUUGGGAAUGCAGCUCUAAGUGGGUGGUAAAUUCCAUCUAAAGCUAAAUAUUGGCGAGAGACCGAUAGCGAACAAGUACAGUGAUGGAAAGAUGAAAAGAACUUUGAAAAGAGAGUGAAAAAGUACGUGAAAUUGUUGAAAGGGAAGGGCUUGAGAUCAGACUUGGUAUUUUGUAUGUUACUUCUUCGGGGGUGGCCUCUACAGUUUAUCGGGCCAGCAUCAGUUUGGGCGGUAGGAGAAUUGCGUUGGAAUGUGGCACGGCUUCGGUUGUGUGUUAUAGCCUUCGUCGAUACUGCCAGCCUAGACUGAGGACUGCGGUUUAUACCUAGGAUGUGUCACACUUGCUUGGGAG